GACGAACGCUGGCGGCGUGCUUAACACAUGCAAGUCGAACGGAAAGGCCCUGCUUUUGUGUGGUGCUCGAGUGGCGAACGGGUGAGUAACACGUGAGUAACCUGCCCUUGACUUUGGGAUAACUUCAGGAAACUGGGGCUAAUACCUGAUAGGAGCUCCUGCUGCAUGGUGGGGGUUGGAACGUUUCGGCGGUUGCGGAUGGACUCGCGGCUUACCAGCUUGUUGGUGGGGUAGUUGCUUACCAAGGCUUUGACGGGUAGCCGGCCUGAGAGGGUGACCGGCCACAUUGGGACUGAGAUACGGCCCAGACUCCUACGGGAGGCAGCAGUGGGGAAUAUUGCACAAUGGGCGGAAGCCUGAUGCAGCAACGCCGCGUGCGGGAUGACGGCCUUCGGGUUGUAAACCGCUUUCGCCUGUGACGAAGCGUGAGUGACGGUAAUGGGUAAAGAAGCACCGGCUAACUACGUG
This 468-nucleotide ribosomal RNA is filed under the name uncultured bacterium. RNAcentral's name for it is "partial 16S ribosomal RNA". It matches the Rfam family "Bacterial small subunit ribosomal RNA", at positions 28 to 507 of the family's 1533-position model. The record is from RNAcentral.